RNAcentral lists this ribosomal RNA (387 nucleotides) under uncultured bacterium. RNAcentral's name for it is "bacterial SSU rRNA". It matches the Rfam family "Bacterial small subunit ribosomal RNA", at positions 30 to 416 of the family's 1533-position model. The record is from RNAcentral.
AUUGAACGCUGGCGGCAGGCCUAACACAUGCAAGCCGAGCGGAUGAGUGGAGCUUGCUCCAUGAUUCAGCGGCGGACGGGUGAGUAAUGCCUAGGAAUCUGCCUGGUAGUGGGGGACAACGUUUCGAAAGGAACGCUAAUACCGCAUACGUCCUACGGGAGAAAGCAGGGGGACCUUCGGGCCUUGCGCUAUCAGAUGAGCCUAGGUCGGAUUAGCUAGUAGGUGAGGUAAUGGCUCACCUAGGCGACGAUCCGUAACUGGUCUGAGAGGACGACCAGCCACACUGGGACUGAGACACGGCCCAGACUCCUACGGGAGGCAGCAGUGGGGAAUUUUGGACAAUGGGCGCAAGCCUGAUCCAGCAAUGCCGCGUGCAGGAUGAAGGCC